RNAcentral lists this ribosomal RNA (834 nucleotides) under uncultured bacterium. Its description in RNAcentral is "bacterial SSU rRNA". It matches the Rfam family "Bacterial small subunit ribosomal RNA", at positions 59 to 882 of the family's 1533-position model. The record is from RNAcentral.
CAGUCGAGGGGCAGCGGGGAGGUAGCAAUACUUCCGCCGGCGACCGGCGCACGGGUGAGUAACACGUAUGGAACCUGCCCGUAGCAGGGGGAUAAGCGGAAGAAAUUCCGUCUAAUACCGCGUAAUAACUCCGAGAGGCAUCUCUUGGGGUUUAAAGGGUAACACCGGCUACGGAUGGCCAUGCGGCGCAUUAGCUAGUUGGCGGGGUAACGGCCCACCAAGGCGACGAUGCGUAGGGGUUCUGAGAGGAAGGUCCCCCACACUGGUACUGAGACACGGACCAGACUCCUACGGGAGGCAGCAGUGAGGAAUAUUGGUCAAUGAGCGGGAGCCUGAACCAGCCAAGUCGCGUGAGGGAUGACGGCCCUAUGGGUUGUAAACCUCUUUUGCCGGGGAGCAAAGUGCCGCACGUGUGCGGUUUGGAGAGUACCCGGAGAAAAAGCAUCGGCUAACUCCGUGCCAGCAGCCGCGGUAAUACGGAGGAUGCGAGCGUUAUCCGGAUUUAUUGGGUUUAAAGGGUGCGUAGGCGGACGCUUAAGUCAGCGGUAAAAUUGCGGGGCUCAACCUCGUCGAGCCGUUGAAACUGGGUGCCUUGAGUGGGCGAGAAGUACGCGGAAUGCGUGGUGUAGCGGUGAAAUGCAUAGAUAUCACGCAGAACUCCGAUUGCGAAGGCAGCGUACCGGCGCCCAACUGACGCUGAAGCACGAAGGCGUGGGUAUCGAACAGGAUUAGAUACCCUGGUAGUCCACGCAGUAAACGAUGAAUGCUAGUUGUCCGGGGCGAUUGAGUUCUGGGUGACACAGCGAAAGCGUUAAGCAUUCCACCUGGGGAGUA